GAUGAACGCUGGCGGCGUGCUUAACACAUGCAAGUCGAGCGAGAAGUUUUGAAAAGAUUCUUCGGAUGAAAUUUAAAAUGGAAAGCGGCGGACGGGUGAGUAACGCGUAGGCAACCUGCCCCAUACAAAGGGAUAGCAUUUGGAAACGAAUAUUAAUACCUUAUGAAACUUAACUAGUGCAUGCUAGGUAGGUCAAAGAUUUAUCGGUAUGGGAUGGGCCUGCGUCUGAUUAGCUAGUUGGUGAGGUAACGGCUCACCAAGGCGACGAUCAGCAGCCGACCUGAGAGGGUGAACGGCCACAUUGGAACUGAGACACGGUCCAAACUCCUACGGGAGGCAGCAGUGGGGAAUAUUGCACAAUGGGGGAAACCCUGAUGCAGCAACGCCGCGUGAACGAUGAAGGCCUUUGGGUCGUAAAGUUCUGUUCUAGGUGAUGAAAACUGACAGUAACCUAGGAGCNNGCCCCGGCUAACUCCGUGCCAGCAGCCGCGGUAAUACGGAGGGGGCAAGCGUUAUCCGGAAUUAUUGGGCGUAAAGGGUACGUAGGUGGCCUUUUAAGCGUAGGGUAUAAGGCAAUGGCUCAACCAUUGUUCGCCCUAUGAACUGGAAGGCUUGAGUGCAGGAGAGGAAAGCGGAAUUCCUAGUGUAGCGGUGGAAUGCAUAGAUAUUAGGAGGAACAUCAGCGGCGAAGGCGGCUUUCUGGACUGCAACUGACACUGAGGUACGAAAGCGUGGGGAGCAAACAGG
RNAcentral lists this ribosomal RNA (747 nucleotides) under uncultured bacterium. RNAcentral's name for it is "bacterial SSU rRNA". It matches the Rfam family "Bacterial small subunit ribosomal RNA", at positions 28 to 776 of the family's 1533-position model. The record is from RNAcentral.